Stegodyphus mimosarum is the source of this 45-nucleotide non-coding RNA. NCBI's taxonomy places the organism in Eukaryota, Metazoa, Arthropoda, Arachnida, Araneae, Eresidae. The record is from Rfam.
AAAAAGGCUCUUUUCAGGGCCAUACAAAUUUAGUAAAGGAGUUAU